This 493-nucleotide ribosomal RNA is filed under the name uncultured bacterium. Its description in RNAcentral is "partial 16S ribosomal RNA". It matches the Rfam family "Bacterial small subunit ribosomal RNA", at positions 30 to 523 of the family's 1533-position model. The record is from RNAcentral.
AUUGAACGCUGGCGGCAUGCUUUACACAUGCAAGUCGAACGGUAACAGGUUAAGCUGACGAGUGGCGAACGGGUGAGUAAUGCAUCGGAACGUGCCCGAUCGUGGGGGAUAACACUUCGAAAGAAGUGCUAAUACCGCAUACGAUCUGAGGAUGAAAGCGGGGGACCGUAAGGCCUCGCGCGAUCGGAGCGGCCGAUGUCAGAUUAGAUAGUUGGUGGGGUAAAGGCUCACCAAGCCGACGAUCUGUAGCUGGUCUGAGAGGACGACCAGCCACACUGGGACUGAGACACGGCCCAGACUCCUACGGGAGGCAGCAGUGGGGAAUUUUGGACAAUGGGCGCAAGCCUGGUCCAGCAAUGCCGCGUGCAGGAAGAAGGCCUUCGGGUUGUAAACUGCUUUUGUACGGAGCGAAAAGGCUCUCUCUAAUACAGGGGGCUCAUGACGGUACCGUAAGAAUAAGCACCGGCUAACUACGUGCCAGCCGCCGCGGUAA